This 71-nucleotide transfer RNA is filed under the name Loxodonta africana (African savanna elephant). It matches the Rfam family "tRNA". From Rfam's summary of the family: Transfer RNA (tRNA) molecules are approximately 80 nucleotides in length. Their secondary structure includes four short double-helical elements and three loops (D, anti-codon, and T loops). Further hydrogen bonds mediate the characteristic L-shaped molecular structure. tRNAs have two regions of fundamental functional importance: the anti-codon, which is responsible for specific mRNA codon recognition, and the 3' end, to which the tRNAs corresponding amino acid is attached (by aminoacyl-tRNA synthetases). tRNAs cope with the degeneracy of the genetic code in two manners: having more than one tRNA (with a specific anti-codon) for a particular amino acid; and 'wobble' base-pairing, i.e. permitting non-standard base-pairing at the 3rd anti-codon position. The record is from Rfam by way of RNAcentral. Lineage: Eukaryota; Metazoa; Chordata; Mammalia; Proboscidea; Elephantidae.
GCAGUGGUGGUUCAGUGAUAGAAUUUUCACCUUCCAUGUGGGAGACCCAGGUUAGAUUCCCAGUCAAUGCA